RNAcentral lists this ribosomal RNA (253 nucleotides) under uncultured bacterium. Its description in RNAcentral is "partial 16S ribosomal RNA". It matches the Rfam family "Bacterial small subunit ribosomal RNA", at positions 524 to 776 of the family's 1533-position model. The record is from RNAcentral.
UACGGAGGGGACUAGCGUUGUCCGGAAUUACUGGGCGUAAAGCGCACGUAGGCGGAUUGUUUAGUCAGGGGUGAAAUCCCGAGGCUCAACCUCGGAACUGCCUUUGAUACUGGCAAUCUCGAGUCCGGAAGAGGUGAGUGGAAUUCCUAGUGUAGAGGUGAAAUUCGUAGAUAUUAGGAAGAACACCAGUGGCGAAGGCGGCUCACUGGUCCGGUACUGACGCUGAGGUGCGAAAGCGUGGGGAGCAAACAGG